This 841-nucleotide unclassified non-coding RNA is filed under the name Hevea brasiliensis (rubber tree). Lineage: Eukaryota; Viridiplantae; Streptophyta; Magnoliopsida; Malpighiales; Euphorbiaceae. The record is from RNAcentral.
AUUUGACGUUUAAGUAUACUGUUCAAUGCAUGGAUCAUAUAGAAGAUUAUUUUUAAAGCUCGCACUGUAUACCCAAUUAUUAGUUACUAAGACCCAAUUAUUAGUUACUAAGUUGGGUUACAACUUUGCUAUGGCCUUAAACUUUAUUUUUAUCUCAUAAUGAUAUUGUUGAAUCAUUUAAAAUUGUGUAUUAUUGAUUAGUGCGGUGUUUCACAAACUUCUUGCAAACAUUGCAGAAUGGCAUAGUAGAAUUAUGGGAUUUUUUUUCUGUUAUCAUCUAGAAUUAUGUUGUUAGGUUUUUACUUUUUACUUAUUUUGUUAAAAUUGUGUUUAAAACAUAUCUUAAGAUGCUGUUUUAUUGUGGGCUAUGAUCUUGAUCAAUAAUUGUGUUUUAACUUCAGCUUUAUGUGAUCCUGUUUUGCUGCAUGUGACAUGACUUAAUCACACCCAACAGACGCAAAGUAUAUAUGUAUCAAAAGAAAAAAGAAAAUAGAUACCGGGGAUAUAGAAAUUGUGAUGGAUGUGUCUAUGAUUAUUUAUGGGAGGCAGAUACAGAUACAAAUCAAUCAAAGAAUAGGUGAGCUGGGAUUAAUGUUUAUUUUUAGCUAACUAAUUUCUGUAAUUAGCUAAUUAAUUUUUUAGUUUGUUAUUUCAGCUAGUUAGGCAUUCGAAGAGAUCCAUCAAUAAACUUCACUUUAUUCUUAGAUUGCAGAGCCAUUGUCAUAGCUCUUGCCUAGGAAUGGUAAUUAGAUCCAUUGAGAACUGGAGAAACAAGAACUAAUGUAGGAUUCUCAUUUGGAUGAAGAAAAUACAGAUAUGAAGGAUUAGACAAAUGAUCAGG